This is a non-coding RNA of Zasmidium cellare ATCC 36951, 131 nucleotides long. The record is from the annotation of a RefSeq genome assembly. Lineage: Eukaryota; Fungi; Ascomycota; Dothideomycetes; Mycosphaerellales; Mycosphaerellaceae.
GGGGAAGUGGUCUAGCGGUAAGACGCGGAGGGGCUUUGGCCAGAUAUCUCUCACUACUGGUCCAGGGCGAGUUCCAUCUCUACACUCAGUACCUUAACUCCGAGACGCGAGUUCGAUUCUCGCCUUCUCCA